Molecule: long non-coding RNA, 613 nt
Organism: Canis lupus familiaris (dog)
Lineage: Eukaryota; Metazoa; Chordata; Mammalia; Carnivora; Canidae
Exons: 3
Source: RefSeq, a predicted model, not a curated record
CAGAGUGGAGCUGCUCCUGCCUGUUUGCUGCCUGACUGACUGUUAUUACAAUACAGAAGGGAGAUGACUCUCCAAACACUGUCCAUUUGGGUCAUUCUUCACUUGGACAGAUGUCACUCUCAGUUGCUAAUAACACAUGAAAGCAAAAAAAGGAUAGAAUGAGAUCAUGAAUAUGAAGACAUCGGCACAGAACGUGGCAAAAAGUAACUGUAUGAUGGAUAAAUAAAUAACAACAAGAAAAGUAAUUUUAAAAAUCCAUCUUCUAUGUGACUAGACAUCAGAGUAUGGGCUCCUGGAAAGCCCCCAUUUGGCCCAAGCCCCAAAAUUCCCUCUGAUCGGCUCUUUUGGAACUCAUCCCGCUGAGGCGAUGGCUGCCCCUACACAUUCUGAUUCUAGGAGUUGGAGUCUCUGCUUUGACUGCAGUGAGAAAGAGUCCUGAGAAAGCAGCUCUCCCAGACCUAUUGGUUCUCCACAGGCUGCCCUUAGUGGGUUCAUCUACCAGCCAUGAGAGCAGUGAAGCUCAGCUCACCAUUCAGAAAUAAGAAAUAGUGAAAGGGAUUAUAAGGGAAAGGAGGAGAAUUGAAAGAAAAAUUUAGAGAGGGGGACAAACCAU